UGCGAGAAGAAAACGAGGAAGAAAGCCUAUGCGAAAACAAAAUGGAAACGAAAACAAGGACACCACCCUCGUCGUUUAUGGAUACGUAAGAUUUAUGACUUCUGCCGCACACAGGCAGCUGUAAACACGCAACUUUAAAAAGUGUGGAGCGAACUGCAUGGGACUUGGCUAUUCACCUUUUGCUACGCGAUUGUUCGUCAUUUGAUUCCUCUAACUUGCACAGAAGACCCAGUGCCAACAUUCCAUUAUAUUGUGAGCUCAUGCUGUGUUCUUCUGUCAAAGGUUUUCUUAGUAGAAUGCAGUAUCAUGUUGUUGAAAUGUACAUUUAAAUCCCACAUUGCAAAAAUAAAUAUCCUUUGACAUAUAUCCAUUGCUACAAUGCCAAGGACAUACACACAAAAGAUUAACAUUGACGGGUCAUCCUAUACACACUAGUGGGACUUAUUGUUAAUGGUAAAAUAAUUUCUUCUUGUUUUAUCUCAACACGUACAGUCCAUGCUGAUAAAAAAAUCAAAUAUAUACGAAUGUUAAUUCCGGUUUCAAUUUUAGAAUUUAAAGGACAUUUUUAGACAGAAUUGGCAUUUUCCUUCUCUGUUAUUAACACAUGAUUGAAUUAAAUGUGUCUUUCUUUUUAAUUUAUGGCUGAGCAUUAUUUCAUAUUGGUUAUGAAUACAAAUCAAUAAUUCACAUAACAGACUGUCACUGCAAAACACAAGCACAGGAAGCAACAUUUCCUCCACAAGCACAUAAUCCGACGAUAUGAAUUAUGGUCACACCUUGCAGAUUAA
Molecule: long non-coding RNA, 788 nt
Organism: Electrophorus electricus (electric eel)
Lineage: Eukaryota; Metazoa; Chordata; Actinopteri; Gymnotiformes; Gymnotidae
Source: RefSeq, a predicted model, not a curated record